Molecule: unclassified non-coding RNA, 459 nt
Filed under: Hevea brasiliensis (rubber tree)
Lineage: Eukaryota; Viridiplantae; Streptophyta; Magnoliopsida; Malpighiales; Euphorbiaceae
Source: RNAcentral
AAAAAAAAAAAAAAUCUGGGUAGAAUUCCAGCAACAUUAAUUAUUAUUGCAGCUUCAUAGCACAGCAAUUUUCCAUUGAAACCAAACAGCACCUUUCCUCUUUAUUUACACUGCACAAGUUAUUAUAAAUUGCUUAAGUUCAGCAAAUUGGACAAGGGAAAGCAUCUCAAGCCAGAAAUUUGUACGCCAUGAAAGUUGAUAGCAGCAUGAAUUUUUACACUAUUGAGAAUUAGGAUUAAAUGUGUUAAGCUCCUGAGCACAUAUAGAUGAUGAGGCAAUUAAUGAUGCAUCUGAUCCAUGAGAGGACUGAGUUUUGCUCGAACUAUCAUGUGAAAUUUGAUCAAACUUGUUCCUUGAACCUUCAAAACCCAAUCCAUCACCAUACAUACUAGGGCCCACGACCACUUCAUGAACAGCAGUUCGGCCUUCAAGCAUACUUACUACUUCAGACAUUGUAGG